CCUACGGGAGGCAGCAGUGGGGAAUAUUGCACAAUGAGGGAAACCCUGAUGCAGCGACGCCGCGUGAGUGAAGAAGUAUUUCGGUAUGUAAAGCUCUAUCAGCAGGGAAGAAGAAAGACGAUACCUGACUAAGAAGCCCCGGCUAACUACGUGCCAGCAGCCGCGGUCAUACGUAGGGGGCAAGCGUUAUCCGGAUUUACUGGGUGUAAAGGGAGCGUAGACGGCUGUGCAAGUCUGAAGUGAAAGCCCAGGGCUCAACCCUGGGACUGCUUUGGAAACUUGGGAGCUAGAGUGCUGGAGAGGUAAGUGGAAUUCCUAGUGUAGCGGUGAAAUGCGUAGAUAUUAGGAGGAACACCAGUGGCGAAGGCGGCUUACUGGACAGUAACUGACGUUGAGGCUCGAAAGCGUGGGGAGCAAACAGGAUUAGAUACCCGAGUAGUC
RNAcentral lists this ribosomal RNA (441 nucleotides) under uncultured bacterium. RNAcentral's name for it is "partial 16S ribosomal RNA". It matches the Rfam family "Bacterial small subunit ribosomal RNA", at positions 338 to 795 of the family's 1533-position model. The record is from RNAcentral.